UACGGGGGGGGUAAGCGUUGUUCGGAAUUACUGGGCGUAAAGCGUGCGCAGGCGGUUUUGUAAGUUUGUCGUGAAAGCCCCAGGCUCAACCUGGGAAUUGCGAUGAAGACUGCAAGGCUUGAAUCUGGCAGAGGGGGGUAGAAUUCCACGUGUAGCAGUGAAAUGCGUAGAGAUGUGGAGGAACACCGAUGGCGAAGGCAGCCCUCUGGGUCAAGAUUGACGCUCAUGCACGAAAGCGUGGGGAGCAAACAGG
This 253-nucleotide ribosomal RNA is filed under the name uncultured bacterium. RNAcentral describes it as "partial 16S ribosomal RNA". It matches the Rfam family "Bacterial small subunit ribosomal RNA", at positions 524 to 776 of the family's 1533-position model. The record is from RNAcentral.